This 428-nucleotide ribosomal RNA is filed under the name uncultured bacterium. RNAcentral's name for it is "bacterial SSU rRNA". It matches the Rfam family "Bacterial small subunit ribosomal RNA", at positions 355 to 799 of the family's 1533-position model. The record is from RNAcentral.
UCGGGAAUUUUGGGCAAUGGGCGAAAGCCUGACCCAGCAACGCCGCGUGAAGGAUGAAGUAUUUCGGUAUGUAAACUUCGAAAGAAUAGGAAGAAUAAAUGACGGUACUAUUUAUAAGGUCCGGCUAACUACGUGCCAGCAGCCGCGGUAAUACGUAGGGACCAAGCGUUGUUCGGAUUUACUGGGCGUAAAGGGCGCGUAGGCGGCAUGACAAGUCACUUGUGAAAUCUCUGGGCUUAACCCAGAACGGCCAAGUGAUACUGUCGCGCUAGAGUGCAGAAGGGGCAAUCGGAAUUCUUGGUGUAGCGGUGAAAUGCGUAGAUAUCAAGAGGAACACCUGAGGUGAAGACGGGUUGCCGGGCUGACACUGACGCUGAGGCGCGAAAGCCAGGGGAGCAAACGGGAUUAGAUACCCUUGUAGUCCCUGA